Molecule: ribosomal RNA, 253 nt
Filed under: uncultured bacterium
Lineage: Bacteria
Description: partial 16S ribosomal RNA
Rfam family: Bacterial small subunit ribosomal RNA
Source: RNAcentral
UACGAAGGGUGCAAGCGUUACUCGGAAUUACUGGGCGUAAAGCGUGCGUAGGUGGUUCGUUAAGUCUGAUGUGAAAGCCCUGGGCUCAACCUGGGAAUGGCAAUGGAUACUGGCGACCUAGAGUGCGGUAGAGGGUGGCGGAAUUCCCGGUGUAGCAGUGAAAUGCGUAGAUAUCGGGAGGAACAUCCGUGGCGAAGGCGGCCACCUGGACCAGCACUGACACUGAGGCACGAAAGCGUGGGGAGCAAACAGG